RNAcentral lists this ribosomal RNA (501 nucleotides) under uncultured bacterium. RNAcentral describes it as "partial 16S ribosomal RNA". It matches the Rfam family "Bacterial small subunit ribosomal RNA", at positions 30 to 523 of the family's 1533-position model. The record is from RNAcentral.
AUUGAACGCUGGCGGCAGGCUUAACACAUGCAAGUCGAGCGGGGGAAGGUAGCCUGCUACCGGAUCUAGCGGCGGACGGGUGAGUAAUGCUUAGGAAUCUGCCUAUUAGUGGGGGACAACAUCUCGAAAGGGAUGACAAUACCGCAUACGUCCUACGGGAGAAAGAAGGGGAUCUUCGGACCUUGCGCUAAUAGAUGAGCCUAAGUCGGAUAAGCGAGUUGGUGGAGUAAAGGCCUACCAAGGCGACGAUCUGUAGAGGGUCUGAGAGGAUGAUCCGCCACACUGGGACUGAGACACGGCCCAGACUCCUACGGGAGGCAGCAGUGGGGAAUAUUGGACAAUGGGGGGAACCCUGAUCCAGCCAUGCCGCGUGUGUGAAGAAGGCCUUAUGGUUGUAAAGCACUUUAAGCGAGGAGGAGGCUACUUUAGUUAAUACCUAGAGAUAGUGGACGUUACUCGCAGAAUAAGCACCGGCUAACUCUGUGCCAGCCGCCGCCGUAA